RNAcentral lists this ribosomal RNA (373 nucleotides) under uncultured eukaryote. Its description in RNAcentral is "partial 18S ribosomal RNA". It matches the Rfam family "Eukaryotic small subunit ribosomal RNA", at positions 592 to 975 of the family's 1831-position model. The record is from RNAcentral.
CAAUAGCGUAUAUUAAAGUUGUUGCGGUUAAAAAGCUCGUAGUUGAAUUUCUGUUUAGUGCAACUGUUCCACCCAUUGGGUCGGUAACUGGUGUGCUCUAAACUAUUGUUAGUGAACACGGCUGCACUUCCGUGAGGCCUGUUAACUAACCUAUUACUUUGAGGAAAUUAGAGUGUUUCAAGCAGGCUUCUGCCUUGAAUAUAUUAGCAUGGAAUAAUACUUCAGGACCUUAGUUCUGAUUUGUUGGUUUCUGGAACGAAGGUAAUGAUUAAUAGGAAUAGUCGGGCAUUCGUACUUAACUGUCAGAGGUGAAAUUCUUGGAUUUGCUAAAGACGAACUAAUGCGAAAGCAUUUGCCAAGGAUGUUUNCAUUG